Molecule: ribosomal RNA, 254 nt
Filed under: uncultured bacterium
Lineage: Bacteria
Description: partial 16S ribosomal RNA
Rfam family: Bacterial small subunit ribosomal RNA
Source: RNAcentral
UACGAAGGGGGCUAGCGUUGUUCGGAAUCACUGGGCGUAAAGCGCACGCAGGCGGAUCGUUAAGUCAGGGGUGAAAUCCCGAGGCUCAACCUCGGAACUGCCUUUGAUACUGGCGAUCUUUGAGUCCGGGAGAGGUGAGUGGAACUGCGAGUGUAGAGGUGAGAUUCGUAGAUAUUCGCAAGAACACCAGUGGCGAAGGCGGCUCACUGGCCCGGUACUGACGCUGAGGUGCGAAAGCGUGGGGAGCAAACAGG